UUUUUUUUUUUUUUUUUUUUCGUGCUAUCGAAAACAUCAGAUUAACAGGCAUUUCCAAUUCUUUGAGGUUGUUAUAAAAGCAGCAAAGAAACAACUAUAUGAGGACAAGUCCUCAAUUUUUGAUAACAGCAAUGACAAAUCUAAGACGAAUAUCAACAAGUUCUCUUCCAAUGGAGGAGGAGGAAUAUGUGGCCCUGAUGAAAGCAUUAGUUGCUGCGAUAGCUGGGAAUAGGACUAUUCCAUUUUGACCACAGUUACAGACCAUGUCCACUUGCUCGACGGUAUGCUUGAACCACUAAGAAGAAGCCUGUACAGAGAUUCAGAUGACGAAUGAUGUAUGUUAUGAGAAGGUCAUGGCUAGAGCAGGUAGGCUUCAAGUCAUAUUUGUUCACUCUAGGAAAGAGAGAGUGAAAACUAGAAGAGGUUAGUGCAAUCCGUUAGAUUUUACAGACCGAAAUGAGUCAUGUUAGGUGCAAUGAUCCCAAAGACUUGUUGCUGUAUGGGUUCACAAUUCAUCGUGCCGGUACGGCGAGAACAGACCGUUGUCUGAUGAAGGUACUUUUAGAUGAAGGGCACAUACAAUUAUUGGUUUUUACUGCAACCUUGCAUGGGGUGUCAAUUUAACAGCACACACUUUGAUCAUCAAGGGCACUCAGAUUUACAAUCCUGAGCGUCGAGCAUGGGAUGAACUAAGUCCUUCGGAUGUAACUCAGAUGCUUGGUCGUGCAGGAAGGCCUCAGUAUGACGCCUCUUGGGAAGGGAUUUAUCAUGACUGGACACAGUGAGCUGUACUAUUAUCUCUUGAUCAUGAACUACCAACUGUCCAUUGCAAGUCAGUUUGUGUGGAAAUUGGCUGACCAGCUAAUGCUGAAAUUGUUCUUGGAACAUAAGAGUGCUAUAGAAGAAUGCAACAGGCGUAACUGUACAUACUUGAACGUCCACAUGGUGAGGAAUCCAACACUUUUUGGUUUGCAGCUGAUGUUCUGAGUAGGGACAUGACUUUGGAAGAAAGGAGGCUGAUUUGUGAGACAAGACAAGAAGAUGAAACUUGAGAAGUGUUUAAACCUUGUACCUAUUUCUGUGGAGGAAAGCUUGCAAAACCCAGUGUCAAAAUUACUGUUUUGCUCGAUGGCUACCUUUCACUGCCAAAGCUUGAAGAACUCUCACUGGCUUCCAGUACGGUGUUCAUCACUCAGGAAUGGUGAAACUCCAAGAUCUGAACAUUUUAUGAACAUCCUUGUUAGGCUGCCCGUAAAGUCAAUCUCACGUUUCAGAGGUGUAUCCAAAGCCUGGUGCAAUUUACAGGAAGAUUCAAAUUUUGUGAAAAAAAUACCUUAACAAUUCAAUUAAAAGGACCGUAUUCAGUGUGGGGAUGUCAGAUUUUAUCACUCCUCAUAGUCAUGCUUUCAAAGAUCCACGUGCAUAUUCAUACCUCAAUAAUGCUGGAAGUGUGGCUUUAUCAGCUUUCUCGUUGUCAUACACAGCAAAGAGAGGUUCUGAAAGGCAGCAAGAAGUAAGUUAUUGUUUUGCUUUACUGGGUGAUUUUAUCAGCUUUUACCUGCACUGCUUCCUUCAAUUAGAUGAACAGAGGUCAGCAAAAGCUAAAUUGGCUGCUAUUGACUUUGCUAUUAAAUCUUCCACUCAAUUUUGAAUCUGGGAGUAGUGGUAUUAUAAAACUUUGGCUGGCCAAGUGAGCACCUUUGGUCCAUGAUGAAAAUACAAAAACUAAAUGAAGCCGCUAGUACUUGCAUUGUAUCAGUAUUUACCCAUUUUAUUAAACAUCAGUCCUUAACUUCAUUCUCAGUUUAUCAGUUGAGGAACAAAAUUCUAUCAGAUGACCAGUGAAGCAGUACAUCCAGCGUGUAGAGGUUGGCCUUAUGAAUUUUGUACAAAGCAAGAAUGAGAGACAGUGUUCCAAAUCUUUCCAUUAUCAGUCAGAUGUUGUUGGAACUUCCUCCGAAGAGGGAUACACUGUAGUUUGGACGAAAAGUAACUUUUUUCGAAGGUAUUCUGCGGGUUCCGUUGACAGAGCGAUGGUGUCAGGAGAUGGAAUUCCCUGCAGAAAUCGUCCCAGUUCACAGUCUCUGCUGGUCAAGCUCCUUCUGAUGAAACUCAUGAGAACAUCUAUCGCAGUUUCGAGGCUGGUUCCAGAACUGAUAUUCCUAUUUCUAGAAGAAGUAUCUGAUGUACAAUGCCAUUACCUCAGCUGAAAGCAAAACAUCCUGGACAACCCAGCCUGAAACUGUAGAUUAUAGUGUGUGUUUUGGGAGUUCUUUGUCAACUCCGCGUGUAGAUACAAACAGGCACGUGUCCUCUAUUCUUGGUGGGAAGACUGAGUUGAAGCCUCCCAGUGAAAGUUGUUGAAAUUUUUUAAUAUUUUUGAAGAUAUACGAGCAUAGUGGUGUUGCUCGUAUAGAGCUCCAGGAACUCUAGUGGUGAAGGUGGAAGCAAUGAUUUUGUAAAUUUGAACUUUAUCUUCUAUUGAAUUGAAUCUUACUUGCUUGCUUGCUUACAAAUGGUGUACAACAUGCCUAUUUAUAGGCUUCAUAUUACUUCACUCUAGUUGUAUCUAGAGUUUUCUAAAUGUAAACUAAUUUGACCUACUUGACUUUCUCUAGAAUACCCUAGUAGACAUUUAAAGUCUCUUAGGACUUUGGCUCCUCUUAGUACAUUCUAGAAUACUUGUUUCCUACAUUCCUUUGUACUUGUCUAGACCAUUCUAGACUAUUACAAAUUACAUGUUCCAACACCCACUUUUAAUUUGUAGUGGUCUUUGAUUUUGAUCUCACCCAAUCUUAGCUCCCUCUUAGCUGCUUAUGCUCGCCGUUGCCUGCUUAUGCCCGUUGUAAUCAUUUUGACAUCAUCUCGUCUUAAUUUCGCCAUGUGCUCGACUCCAUUGCUUUUGUAUGUCUUCAUUAGUUUUAAUUGGUUUGGUAAUGGUGGAUACUUGUCCACAUUUCUGGCUUUUACGAAGUUAGAUCGUCAUAGAUUCAGAAGCUCCUUCUUGUGCUGAAUUCCUCCUUCUCCUUCACGGUUUACACCGUCUUCAGUACAGAGGCUUUGCCUUCUGUUUAUAUUCCUCGCCUUUCACGAAACUUGACCAUCGUAGGUUUAGAGGUUCCGCCAACUCAACUUUGUGAGUAGAAUAUUUUUACAAGAUGACUCUAAUUUUUGCCAUCUAUGUUAUUUGAGGAGGCAUUUCUUUGAUGCUCUCUUCCCUCAAAUUUUUCUUUAGAAAUACACUCUUUUGUGCAUCUCCGUGGGAGGAUGGAAACUUCUCUUCUUAU
This is a long non-coding RNA of Papaver somniferum (opium poppy), 3287 nucleotides long. RefSeq lists it as uncharacterized. Lineage: Eukaryota; Viridiplantae; Streptophyta; Magnoliopsida; Ranunculales; Papaveraceae. The transcript is spliced from 5 exons. The record is from RefSeq and is a predicted model, not a curated record.